Thalassophryne amazonica is the source of this 150-nucleotide long non-coding RNA. RefSeq lists it as uncharacterized. The transcript has 3 exons. Lineage: Eukaryota; Metazoa; Chordata; Actinopteri; Batrachoidiformes; Batrachoididae. The record is from RefSeq and is a predicted model, not a curated record.
GACAGUUUUUCUGCAGAGGGAAGGUUCACAGAGAAGGUCCAGGCGACGUUUCAGGAGGGUCAACCCCAGAGGGGAGAGAGAACUCAUCACUGACGGCCAAGAACCCUCCACUUAUAACACGGAGUAUGUCAACAGCAAGCUUCCUGAUGA